UGGGCAGACAUGGCGUCCUCAUCUUCGUCAACAUCAUCAUCUUCCCUUGUUUCAAGUAAAGAUAGCAAUGAUGAUAUUCUUCAAUCAAUAAUAGUAAAAAGUAAAACUGACAAAAAAGAAAAAGGAAAAGCAAAGUUAAAACAAAAAAGCAAAGUGAAAAGAAAAGAAAAGAAAAAGAAGGACACUUCGUCCUCAUCUGAUUAAAAGGC
Molecule: long non-coding RNA, 209 nt
Filed under: Jatropha curcas
Lineage: Eukaryota; Viridiplantae; Streptophyta; Magnoliopsida; Malpighiales; Euphorbiaceae
Description: long non-coding RNA (JCUR_LNC001250)
Source: RNAcentral